RNAcentral lists this transfer RNA (72 nucleotides) under Ictidomys tridecemlineatus (thirteen-lined ground squirrel). Its description in RNAcentral is "Spermophilus tridecemlineatus (thirteen-lined ground squirrel) tRNA". It matches the Rfam family "tRNA". From Rfam's summary of the family: Transfer RNA (tRNA) molecules are approximately 80 nucleotides in length. Their secondary structure includes four short double-helical elements and three loops (D, anti-codon, and T loops). Further hydrogen bonds mediate the characteristic L-shaped molecular structure. tRNAs have two regions of fundamental functional importance: the anti-codon, which is responsible for specific mRNA codon recognition, and the 3' end, to which the tRNAs corresponding amino acid is attached (by aminoacyl-tRNA synthetases). tRNAs cope with the degeneracy of the genetic code in two manners: having more than one tRNA (with a specific anti-codon) for a particular amino acid; and 'wobble' base-pairing, i.e. permitting non-standard base-pairing at the 3rd anti-codon position. Lineage: Eukaryota; Metazoa; Chordata; Mammalia; Rodentia; Sciuridae. The record is from Rfam by way of RNAcentral.
GGGGUUGUGGCUUAGUGGUAGAACACUUUCCUGGCAUGCUUGAGGCCCUGGGUUCAAUCCCCAGCAUCACCA